UACGGAGGGUGCGAGCAUUAAUCGGAUUUAUUGGGCGUAAAGGGCGCGUAGGCGGGUUAGUAAGUCAGAUGUGAAAGCCCGGGGCUCAACCCCGGAAUUGCAUUUGAAACUGCUAGUCUAGAGGGUAGGCGGAGAAAACAGAAUUCCACAAGUAGCGGUGAAAUGCGUAGAUAUGUGGAAGAAUACCGGUGGCGAAGGCGGUUUUCUAGCUUAUACCUGACGCUGAGGCGCGAAAGCAAGGGGAUCAAACAGG
This 253-nucleotide ribosomal RNA is filed under the name uncultured bacterium. RNAcentral's name for it is "partial 16S ribosomal RNA". It matches the Rfam family "Bacterial small subunit ribosomal RNA", at positions 524 to 776 of the family's 1533-position model. The record is from RNAcentral. RNAcentral also lists the same sequence under 1 other name.